This is a long non-coding RNA of Ipomoea triloba (trilobed morning glory), 1630 nucleotides long. RefSeq lists it as uncharacterized. NCBI's taxonomy places the organism in Eukaryota, Viridiplantae, Streptophyta, Magnoliopsida, Solanales, Convolvulaceae. The transcript has 3 exons. The record is from RefSeq and is a predicted model, not a curated record.
CCCCCCAAAGGCCAAAGUCACCAAAUUCUAACCCUUAGUCUGCCCUCCGCCUUCAUUCUGCUUCUCUGCGUCUCUGCGUCUCGGCCCUCUCCUACGCAACCGACGACCGCCGGCAAUCAUCGACGAGACGACGACCGGCCGACUCUCCCCUCCGCGGCUCCGCCUUCGGCCUUCACCCACCGCCUCCCCUUUGCCUUCACUCUGCUUCUCUGCUUCUCCUACGCAACCGACGACCGGCCGACUCUCCCCUCCGUGAUUCCCCCUCCAGCCUUCACCCACCACCUGCGGCCGAACCAGCACCGCCUCCCCUCCGCCUUCGCCCACCGCCUGCGAACCAGCAGCGCGACCCUCGCCGGUAAGAACCUGCCUUCCUCCCUUCUUAUUUUCUAUUAUUUUAUAUUGUAUUUGUAAUUAUGUAAUUAUUGGUGUAAUGUGUAUAUGUAAUUAUGUAUAUAUAAGAACCAGCAGUAUUAUGUGUUAGGGUUUAGGGUGUAAUGGACUAAUGGUUAAUGUGUUAAUGUGUAUGUGUGGACUGUGGAAGUGUGGAACUGUGGAUUGUGUAUAGCUAUGUGAAUAUAAUGAACUGUGGAUUGUGUGUAGCUAUGUGAAUAUAAUGAACUGUGGAUUGUGUGUAGAACACUGUUUUAGUUCAGAAUGAUAAAUGGACAAGAAACUUCAAGAACAUUGUUUUAGUUCAGGAACAAAAACUACCAGAUUCUGCCAAGAAGUUCACGGAAUUUUCUGUGUUUAUUGGAGCAACUUUUCUACUCAAACUUUUUAUGGAUUUCAAGUAUUAUAAGUUGAGGUCCUACACAAAAAAAUUCAAGUUCAAAAGAGUAUUGGAAGCAUUUGUUUUCGAAUUUCUUUCCUGACUGCGCCAGGCAGAAUUUCUGGACAGUAUUAACCAGAAACUGACUGAACUUUAAGGAUUUUUUGGGAAAGAUUGGUAAGGAAUUUUUGGCCCAAAUUUUCCAGAUAUCAAGUUCAACAAGAGUAGGACUUCCAGAAAAGAAUUCAAUGAAAAAUAAGGUUUGGAAGUCUUGUUCACGAAUUUUUGUUCUUGAUUGCGCCAGGCAGAAAUAUUCUGGACAGUCACUGCCAAAGACUAAUUUUUUUUUUUCUUAUCUUUUUCUUUGAAUAACAAGAAUAAUUAAACAAGGAAUACAAGGAAACAAUCAAAGACACAAAAAAGUUUUUUUUUGUUGAAGUUUUUGUUAUGGAUAUGCAAGAAAUAAGAUAGCAAAUAACUGAACAUAGCACUUAGAAGCAGUUAUUGGUUUCUCUACUUGAUUUUGAGGCAGUAGGCAGCAGCUAUGUGAGGCAGUAGGCAGUUGCUAUUGAAAGAGAAAUCAUAUCAAGAAAUUUUUCUUCCGGUAUCCAACUCAUGAAAAUCUUUCUUGGAAUCAAGGAUGACUGCUGUUGUUGCCUUUUAAUUGAUAUUGAAGUAGAUCUAUGAACUUAUUUUGAGUGUUGUUAUUGACUUGUAGUUGAUAUUGAAUUGGACUAGUGAACUUACUUAUUUUGAGUGCUUUAAGUGUAGUUGAUAUUGAAGUGAAGUUUUGAACUUAUUUUGGACUUUUGAAUGUUUAAAAAUUUGUAUUAUUUAUUUAUGGAUAAAACAGUAAGUGUA